RNAcentral lists this non-coding RNA (43 nucleotides) under Trypanosoma brucei brucei. The record is from RNAcentral. Lineage: Eukaryota; Euglenozoa; Kinetoplastea; Trypanosomatida; Trypanosomatidae.
AUUAACAAAUAAGCCAUUAACAGGUAGAUGAAGUGUAUAUAUA